AGGUUGGUUCAGCCGGAGAGCCAAUUUGGGCUUAGGAUUGGCAACUUUUGCUGGGGAUGAGAGCCCUACAUGAACAUGAGGUAAGCAUACUAGCCUGUAUGAUACUUGCUAGCCCACACAUGGUUUAGAUAUAGGGCGGCUUUGCGCCUUUAGGCUUUAGUGCGUGACAUUCAUAUAUAUAUAUAUAUAUAUAUAUGGGCCCAAAAUGGUGUGGCCAACUAAUAACCCUACUAUUAAAUCGUUACAUGUUCGCAAUUGUGUAUGGUUUAUGUCAGAGUACCGGCUUAACUUCUAGCAAAGCAUCUGCCCGAAGGCCCAGAACCAAGCAAGGAAUAUCAAAUGGGAAGCCACCUGCGCCUAAAGUCGACCAAGUAAAGGAUGUAGACGGCCGCUGCUCCCUGAGAUCUACCGAACUACCGUGCACGAGUCGCCCCUCCAUUCGCAUGCGCACACC
Molecule: long non-coding RNA, 454 nt
Filed under: Elaeis guineensis (African oil palm)
Lineage: Eukaryota; Viridiplantae; Streptophyta; Magnoliopsida; Arecales; Arecaceae
Description: long non-coding RNA (EGUI_LNC000992)
Source: RNAcentral